RNAcentral lists this unclassified non-coding RNA (328 nucleotides) under soil metagenome. RNAcentral's name for it is "partial contains 5.8S ribosomal RNA, internal transcribed spacer 2, and large subunit ribosomal RNA". The stretch from base 1 to 120 matches the Rfam family "5.8S ribosomal RNA", at positions 35 to 154 of the family's 154-position model. The record is from RNAcentral.
GAUGAAGAACGUAGCGAAAUGCGAUAAGUAAUGUGAAUUGCAGAAUUCAGUGAAUCAUCGAAUCUUUGAACGCACAUUGCGCCCCUUGGUAUUCCGAGGGGCAUGCCUGUUCGAGCGUCAUUAUAACCCCUCAAGCUCAGCUUGGUGUUGGGGCCUGCUGCACUGGCAGCCCUUAAAAUCAGUGGCGGCGCCAUCUGGCUCUAAGCGUAGUAAUUCUUCUCGCUAUGGAGUCCUGGUGGAUGCUUGCCAUCAACCCCCUAUUUUUCUAUGGUUGACCUCGGAUCAGGUAGGGAUACCCGCUGAACUUAAGCAUAUCAAUAACGGAGGA